RNAcentral lists this long non-coding RNA (582 nucleotides) under Junco hyemalis (dark-eyed junco). Its description in RNAcentral is "lncRNA (ENSJHYG00000013415.1)". The record is from RNAcentral. Lineage: Eukaryota; Metazoa; Chordata; Aves; Passeriformes; Passerellidae.
UAUGGUACUCGAACAGCUAAAGCCAAAAGGCUGAAGAAAAAAGAAAGCAGUUUUAAUCCCUUUGAAGAAGGUUCAUCAUCAUUUAGGCAGCUUGAUGCCCCAGAAAACACGUCAGCCCGAUCAAAGGGGCUGACAGCUGAAGUUCUGCCAAGCAAACCCACAGAUGCUGUGGUGCUUAGCCUGUCGCCGGUGUGUAAAGCCUCACCCAGGGAAGACCUGUUCCUGAAUACCACAGGUCCUUUUGUUAACUCAGAAGAAAUUGUUCCUGCAUCUCUGAGCUCAGAAAAAGAAAUGACUCCUCGAAGUCCAGAAGAAAAGAAUAUUUCAAAGCCUCAGUGUGAGAGAAGGGAGAUCUGCUCCAUUGUGAGACUGUCACCAGACCCGAGGCCUUCCCGGCUGCACAAAGUCCCAGUUAACUCCAAAAAGUGCUACCUUCCCAAAGGACUGCCUGAAGGUAAAGGGGGUACAGACUUGCUUCUAUACUCCUGCAUAUAUAGUAUACAUAUUGUAUAUAUAUACUGGGCAGGUGCUAACUGGUUAGUUGAGUGUUUAAGAGUUGUUGGGCUUUUUCUUAAAGUCUGA